AUGCAGGAGCAUGAUCAUCACCAUUGGCUGUGGCUUGAUCCUCAAUUUUGGACCUUGAUUUGUACUUUUAUACCUUGGUUGUAUUGUAAUAAUAUAAGCUAGAUAUAUAGGAUUUAGUACUAGUUUCGAA
This is a long non-coding RNA of Telopea speciosissima, 130 nucleotides long. RefSeq lists it as uncharacterized. The transcript is spliced from 3 exons. NCBI's taxonomy places the organism in Eukaryota, Viridiplantae, Streptophyta, Magnoliopsida, Proteales, Proteaceae. The record is from RefSeq and is a predicted model, not a curated record.